GUAGGUGGCAAGCGUUGUCCGGAAUUAUUGGGCGUAAAGCGCGCGCAGGUGGUUCUUUAAGUCUGAUGUGAAAGCCCCCGGCUCAACCGGGGAGGGUCAUUGGAAACUGGGGAACUUGAGUGCAGGAGAGGAAAGUGGAAUUCCACGUGUAGCGGUGAAAUGCGUAGAUAUGUGGAGGAACACCAGUGGCGAAGGCGACUUCUGGCCUGUAACUGACACUGAGGCGCGAAAGCGUGGGGAGCAAACAGGAUUAGAUACCCUGGUAGUCCACGCCGUAAACGAUGAGUGCUAAGUGUUGGGGGGGUUUCCCGCCCCCCACAGUGCUGCAGCUAACGCAUUAAGCACUCCGCCUGGGGAUACGGUCGCAAGACUG
This 373-nucleotide ribosomal RNA is filed under the name uncultured organism. RNAcentral describes it as "partial 16S ribosomal RNA". It matches the Rfam family "Bacterial small subunit ribosomal RNA", at positions 527 to 896 of the family's 1533-position model. The record is from RNAcentral.